This 251-nucleotide ribosomal RNA is filed under the name uncultured bacterium. Its description in RNAcentral is "partial 16S ribosomal RNA". It matches the Rfam family "Bacterial small subunit ribosomal RNA", at positions 524 to 777 of the family's 1533-position model. The record is from RNAcentral.
UACGUAGGGGCGAGCGUUGUCCGGAAUCAUUGGGCGUAAAGAGCGUGUAGGCGGUUCGGUAAGUCUGCCGUGAAAACCUGGGCUCAACCCUGGCGUGCGGUGGAAACUGUCGAGCUAGAGGAUGGUAGAGGGGAGUGGAAUUCCCGGUGUAGCGGUGAAAUGCGCAGAUAUCGGGAGGAACACCAGUAGCGAAGGCGGCUCCCUCGGGCCCAUUCCUGACGCUGAGACGCGAAAGCGUGGGAGCAACAGGA